CCUACGGGAGGCAGCAGUGGGGAAUUUUGGACAAUGGGGGCAACCCUGAUCCAGCCAUGCCGCGUGUGUGAAGAAGGCCUUCGGGUUGUAAAGCACUUUCGGACGGAACGAAAUCGCGCGGGUGAAUAUCCCGCGUGGAUGACGGUACCGUAAGAAGAAGCACCGGCUAACUACGUGCCAGCAGCCGCGGUAAU
Molecule: ribosomal RNA, 194 nt
Filed under: uncultured bacterium
Lineage: Bacteria
Description: partial 16S ribosomal RNA
Rfam family: Bacterial small subunit ribosomal RNA
Source: RNAcentral